GAUCAAUAUGAAAAUAGAUAAAUCUGAGCAUCAAAGACCUUCCAGCCUAUCUGAUACAUGAUCUCUGUAGCUCUGAGA
Molecule: small nucleolar RNA, 78 nt
Organism: Ailuropoda melanoleuca (giant panda)
Lineage: Eukaryota; Metazoa; Chordata; Mammalia; Carnivora; Ursidae
Source: Ensembl